CUGGCUCAGGAUGAACGCUGGCGGUCUGCUUAACACAUGCAAGUCGAACGGGCUCUUCGGAGCUAGUGGCGGACGGGUGAGUAACGCGUGAGAAUCUGCCUUCAGGAGGGGGAUAACGACUGGAAACGGUCGCUAAUACCCCAUAUGCCUCCGGGUGAAAAGUAAUUCGCCUGAAGAUGAGCUCGCGUCAGAUUAGCUAGUUGGUGGGGUAAGAGCCUACCAAGGCGACGAUCUGUAGCUGGUCUGAGAGGAUGAUCAGCCACACUGGGACUGAGACACGGCCCAGACUCCUACGGGAGGCAGCAGUGGGGAAUUUUCCGCAAUGGGCGCAAGCCUGACGGAGCAAGACCGCGUGGGGGAUGACGGCCUAAUGGUUGUAAACCCCUUUUCUCUGGGAAGAAGACUGACGGUACCAGAGGAAUCAGCCUCGGCUAACUCCGUGCCAGCAGCCGCGGUAAUACGGAGGAGGCAAGCGUUAUCCGGAAUUAUUGGGCGUAAAGCGUCCGUAGGUGGUUAUUCAAGUCUGCUGUCAAAGCGUGGGGCUUAACUCCAUAGAGGCAGUGGAAACUGAGUGACUAGAGUGCGGUAGGGGUCGAGGGAAUUCCCAGUGUAGCGGUGAAAUGCGUAGAUAUUGGGAAGAACACCAGUGGCGAAAGCGCUCGACUGGGCCUGCACUGACACUGAGGGACGAAAGCUAGGGGAGCGAAAGGGAUUAGAUACCCCUGUAGUCCUAGCCGUAAACGAUGGAUACUAGGUGUUGCUCGUCAUCGACCCGAGCAGUGCCGUAGCCAACGCGUUAAGUAUCCCCGCCUGGGGAGUACGCUCGCAAG
This 830-nucleotide ribosomal RNA is filed under the name uncultured organism. RNAcentral's name for it is "bacterial SSU rRNA". It matches the Rfam family "Bacterial small subunit ribosomal RNA", at positions 19 to 892 of the family's 1533-position model. The record is from RNAcentral.